This 1347-nucleotide long non-coding RNA is filed under the name Crocodylus porosus (Australian saltwater crocodile). RNAcentral describes it as "lncRNA (ENSCPRG00005000151.1)". Lineage: Eukaryota; Metazoa; Chordata; Crocodylia; Crocodylidae. The record is from RNAcentral.
CUGGCGUCCCCCUGUCCCUGGGUCUGCAGGGGAUGCCCAGCAGGGCCGGCGGGGGGGAGUAGGGAUUGAGGGCCCCCACACCUGUCCUACAGGUGCCUACUUUAGGACCUUGGAGGCACAGGUGAGGGAUCUCGAGGAGGAGGUUAGCAGGCUGAGGGGAAUCAGGGAGGCAGAAGAUGAAAUUGAUGGUUAUUUCCUUUCCCUACAGGGGCAUGCACCCAAGGAAGAAACACCCCAGGAGGUGCCCUCCACUGCAGAGUGGCAGACGGUCACCUCCAGAACAAGGGCUGCUUACAGCAAAACAGUACUAGCUCCUCCAGUCCAGCUGGAGUACAGUUACAAGGCCCUGGCAACACUGCAGGAGAAGGAAGGAGAGGAGGAAACCUCUGGAGAGGAGGCAACUCCACACUCCCCACACUCUGAACAGGCUGAAGGAACUAAGCAGACCUGGAGAUGGAAACAUCAUGUGAUCGUCAUAGGCAACUCCAUCCUGAGAGGUAUGGAGGGUCCCAUCUGUCGCCAGGACCCCUUGACACUUGAGGUCUACUGCCUGGCCAGAGCAAAGAUUCAGGAUGUGACACGGAUGAUCCAGGCUGUGAUCCAGCCCACUGAUUACUACCCCGUGGUCCUAAUCCAUGUGGGUACUAAUGAUGUGACCAGAAGAAGCCCUGAUUACCUGAUGGUGGACUACCACACUCUGGGGGGCGUGCUGAAGGAGAUGGGUGCACAGGUGUUGUUCUCUUCUGUUCUACCAGUGAGCAGACGUGGAAGACGACAUGAGACCUGCAUCAGAGAGACCAACUGGUGGCUUCGGGAAUGCUGUCUCGAGGGGGGGUUCAGCUUCCUUGAGAGUGACCUGCACUUCAGGAUCAGAGACAUGUUCGGGUGGGAUGGGCUUCACCUUUCUCCUAAAGGGAAAAGGCCCCAAGGGAGGCGUUCUCUUCUAGGUUGGUGGGCUUUAAACUAGGCUUAUAGGGGGAAGGGGAAGAUGAGGGUGAAGGAAGCCUUGGACCACUAAACCAAGUGUCACCCACAAGAACAGCCCAGCCUAGACCGACGAUGAGCAGAGCAAAUAUCCAGGUAAGCAACAAAGGCCUGGGCACUACUGAGAUUAGGGGGCCAGUGCACACAUCUUCAGGAGUCUUCAAAAGCCUCUACACAAAUCCUCGUAGUGUGGGGAACAAGCAGGAAAACCUUACUGUCCUGCUAGCUGAAACCAACCCAGACAUAGUGGGGCUCAUAGAAAUGUGGUGGGAUCCAACGCACGACUGGGUGGUGAAUAUCAAGGGCUAUAGGCUGUACAGGAGGGACAGGACAGGGAGGAAAGGUAGGGGUUUCAUAGACAUC